UGGGGAAUAUUGCACAAUGGGCGAAAGCCUGAUGCAGCAACGCCGCGUGAGGGAUGAAGGCCUUCGGGUUGUAAACCUCUUUUAGCAGGGAAGAAGCGAAAGUGACGGUACCUGCAGAAAAAGCACCGGCUAACUACGUGCCAGCAGCCGCGGUAAUACGUAGGGCGCAAGCGUUGUCCGGAAUUAUUGGGCGUAAAGAGCUCGUAGGCGGGUUGUCGCGUCUGCUGUGAAAAUCCGAGGCCAAACCUC
This 249-nucleotide ribosomal RNA is filed under the name uncultured bacterium. Its description in RNAcentral is "partial 16S ribosomal RNA". It matches the Rfam family "Bacterial small subunit ribosomal RNA", at positions 355 to 616 of the family's 1533-position model. The record is from RNAcentral.